This 474-nucleotide ribosomal RNA is filed under the name bacterium 1962BAB. Its description in RNAcentral is "bacterial SSU rRNA". It matches the Rfam family "Bacterial small subunit ribosomal RNA", at positions 16 to 485 of the family's 1533-position model. The record is from RNAcentral.
AUCCUGGCUCAGGACGAACGCUGGCGGCGUGCCUAAUACAUGCAAGUCGAGCGGACUUGAGGGAGCUUGCUCCCGAUGGUCAGCGGCGGACGGGUGAGUAACACGUGGGCAACCUGCCCUGCAGAUGGGGAUAACUCCGGGAAACCGGGGCUAAUACCGAAUGAUCGAUAGCACCGCAUGGUGCUAUUCUGAAAGAUGGUUUCGGCUAUCACUGCAGGAUGGGCCCGCGGCGCAUUAGCUAGUUGGUGGGGUAACGGCCUACCAAGGCGACGAUGCGUAGCCGACCUGAGAGGGUGAUCGGCCACACUGGGACUGAGACACGGCCCAGACUCCUACGGGAGGCAGCAGUAGGGAAUCUUCCGCAAUGGACGAAAGUCUGACGGAGCAACGCCGCGUGAGCGAAGAAGGCCUUCGGGUCGUAAAGCUCUGUUGUAAGGGAAGAACGCAUGCCAUUUAACUGAUGGCACCUUGACG